GACGAACGCUGGCGGCGUGCUUAACACAUGCAAGUCGAACGGAACCGCCCUGCUUUUUUGCGGACCUCUAGUUGCGGCCUGGGAACUAACCCUUAGGUACCCUACCCCUCCCUUUGGGGUGACUUCAUACAGCUUGAUGUCUUAGCGGCUAGGAUCUACCGCUUCUUGAUGGGGGUUGGUUGGUUUCGCCGGUUGGGGAUGGACUGGCGGCGUAUCCGCUUGUUGGUGGGGUAGUGGCUGACCAAGGCUUUGACGGGUAGCCGGCCUGAGAGGGUGACCGGCCAAAUCGGGACUGAGAUAAGGCCCAGACUCCUACGGGAGGCAGCAGUGGGGAAGAGAGCACAAUGGGCGGAAGCCUGAUGCAGCAACGCCGCGUGCGGGAUGACGGCCUUCGGGUUGUAAACCGCUUUCGCCUGUGACGAAGCGUGAGUGACGGUAAUGGGUAAAGAAGCACCGGCUAACUACGUG
Molecule: ribosomal RNA, 468 nt
Filed under: uncultured bacterium
Lineage: Bacteria
Description: partial 16S ribosomal RNA
Rfam family: Bacterial small subunit ribosomal RNA
Source: RNAcentral